This 465-nucleotide ribosomal RNA is filed under the name uncultured bacterium. Its description in RNAcentral is "partial 16S ribosomal RNA". It matches the Rfam family "Bacterial small subunit ribosomal RNA", at positions 28 to 507 of the family's 1533-position model. The record is from RNAcentral.
GACGAACGCUGGCGGCGUGCUUAACACAUGCAAGUCGAACGGAAAGGCCCCUUUGGGGGUACUCGAGUGGCGAACGGGUGAGUAGCACGUGAGUAACCUGCCCUUGACUUCGGGAUAACUUCAGGAAACUGGGGCUAAUACCGGAUAGGAAUCCUUGCUGCAUGGUGGGGGUUGGAAAGCUUCGGCGGUUUUGGAUGGACUCGCGGCUUAUCAGCUUGUUGGUGGGGUAGUGGCUUACCAAGGCUUUGACGGGUAGCCGGCCUGAGAGGGCGACCGGCCACAUUGGGACUGAGAUACGGCCCAGACUCCUACGGGAGGCAGCAGUGGGGAAUAUUGCACAAUGGGCGGAAGCCUGAUGCAGCAACGCCGCGUGCGGGAUGACGGCCUUCGGGUUGGAAACCGCUUUCAGCAGGGGCGAAGCUUGUGGUGACGGUACCUGCAGAAGAAGCACCGGCUAACUACGUG